This is a long non-coding RNA of Oncorhynchus keta (chum salmon), 1426 nucleotides long. RefSeq lists it as uncharacterized. Lineage: Eukaryota; Metazoa; Chordata; Actinopteri; Salmoniformes; Salmonidae. The record is from RefSeq and is a predicted model, not a curated record. The transcript is spliced from 5 exons.
UGGAGACUGUCCAGAUCUCUGUGUGUCCUGACUGUAGGGGAGGUCCUAGUGGAGACUGUCCAGAUCUCUGUGUGUCCUGACUGUGUGUUUAUGUCCUAGUGGAGACUGACCAGAUCUCUGUGUGUCCUGACUGUAGGGGAGGUCCUAGUGGAGACUGUCCAGAUCUCUGUGUGUCCUGACUGUAGGGGAGGUCCUAGUGGAGACUGUCCAGAUCUCUGUGUGUCCUGACUGUGUGUUUAUGUCCUAGUGGAGACUGUCCAGAUCUCUGUGUGUCCUGACUGUAGGGGAGGUCCUAGUGGAGACUGUCCAGAUCUCUGUGUGUCCUGACUGUGUGUUUAUGUCCUAGUGGAGACUGUCCAGAUCUCUGUGUGUCCUGACUGUAGGGGAGGUCCUAGUGGAGACUGUCCAGAUCUCUGUGUGUCCUGACUGUAGGGGAGGUCCUAGUGGAGACUGUCCAGAUCUCUGUGUGUCCUGACUGUGUGUUUAUGUCCUAGUGGAGACUGUCCAGAUCUCUGUGUGUCCUGACUGUAGGGGAGGUCCUAGUGGAGACUGUCCAGAUCUCUGUGUGUCCUGACUGUGUGUUUAUGUCCUAGUGGAGACUGUCCAGAUCUCUGUGUGUCCUGACUGUAGGGGAGGUCCUAGUGGAGACUGUCCAGAUCUCUGUGUGUCCUGACUGUAGGGGAGGUCCUAGUGGAGACUGUCCAGAUCUCUGUGUGUCCUGACUGUGUGUUUAUGUCCUAGUGGAGACUGACCAGAUCUCUGUGUGUCCUGACUGUAGGGGAGGUCCUAGUGGAGACUGUCCAGAUCUCUGUGUAUCCUGACUGUAGGGGAGGUCCUAGUGGAGACUGUCCAGAUCUCUGUGUGUCCUGACUGUAGGGGAGGUCCUAGUGGAGACUGUCCAGAUCUCUGUGUGUCCUGACUGUGUGUUUAUGUCCUAGUGGAGACUGUCCAGAUCUCUGUGUGUCCUGACUGUAGGGGAGGUCCUAGUGGAGACUGACCAGAUCUCUGUGUGUCCUGACUGUAGGGGAGGUCCUAGUGGAGACUGACCAGAUCUCUGUGUGUCCUGACUGUAGGGGAGGUCCUAGUGGAGACUGACCAGAUCUCUGUGUGUCCUGACUGUAGGGGAGGUCCUAGUGGAGACUGACCAGAUCUCUGUGUGUCCUGACUGUAGGAGAGGUCCUAGUGGAGACUGUCCAGAUCUCUGUGUGUCCCGACUGUAGGGGAGGUCCUAGUGGAGACUGUCCAGAUCUCUGUGUGUCCUGACUGUAGGGGAGGUCCUAGUGGAGACUGACCAGAUCUCUGUGUGUCCUGACUGUAGGGGAGGUCCUAGUGGAGACUGACCAGAUCUCUGUGUGUCCUGACUGUAGGGGAGGUCCUAGUGGAGACUGACCAGAUCUCUGUGUGUCCUGACUGUAGGGGAGGUCCU